RNAcentral lists this ribosomal RNA (253 nucleotides) under uncultured bacterium. Its description in RNAcentral is "partial 16S ribosomal RNA". It matches the Rfam family "Bacterial small subunit ribosomal RNA", at positions 524 to 776 of the family's 1533-position model. The record is from RNAcentral.
UACGUAGGGUGCAAGCGUUGUCCGGAAUUAUUGGGCGUAAAGAGCUCGUAGGCGGUUUGUCGCGUCGGGGGUGAAAACCUUGGGCUUAACUCAGGGCUUGCUUUCGAUACGGGCAGACUAGAGGUAUGCAGGGGAGAACGGAAUUCCUGGUGUAGCGGUGAAAUGCGCAGAUAUCAGGAGGAACACCGGUGGCGAAGGCGGUUCUCUGGGCAUGAUCUGACGCUGAGGAGCGAAAGUGUGGGGAGCGAACAGG